Molecule: ribosomal RNA, 402 nt
Filed under: uncultured Devosia sp.
Lineage: Bacteria; Pseudomonadati; Pseudomonadota; Alphaproteobacteria; Hyphomicrobiales; Devosiaceae
Description: bacterial SSU rRNA
Rfam family: Bacterial small subunit ribosomal RNA
Source: RNAcentral
AGUGGGGAAUAUUGGACAAUGGGCGCAAGCCUGAUCCAGCCAUGCCGCGUGAGUGAUGAAGGCCUUAGGGUUGUAAAGCUCUUUCAGUAGGGAAGAUAAUGACGGUACCUACAGAAGAAGCCCCGGCUAACUUCGUGCCAGCAGCCGCGGUAAUACGAAGGGGGCUAGCGUUGUUCGGAUUUACUGGGCGUAAAGCGCACGUAGGCGGUUUGUUAAGUCAGAGGUGAAAUCCCGGAGCUCAACUCCGGAACUGCCUUUGAUACUGGCAAGCUAGAGUCCGGAAGAGGUAAGUGGAACUCCUAGUGUAGAGGUGGAAUUCGUAGAUAUUAGGAAGAACACCAGUGGCGAAGGCGGCUUACUGGUCCGGAACUGACGCUGAGGUGCGAAAGCGUGGGGAGCAAA